This 199-nucleotide unclassified non-coding RNA is filed under the name uncultured fungus. Its description in RNAcentral is "sequence contains ITS1". The record is from RNAcentral. Lineage: Eukaryota; Fungi.
GUAUAUAUUUUUCAUAGCCAUGACAUUCUAUCAACAUACAUUGGGGGUAAAUGAAGCAACAUAGACCUGGAGGGGUCUACAAAAGGUGCACAGGUGGAGAUAUAAAGAUGACAAGGUGUGCACAUGCUCCCUAGAGAGCCAGCAACAACCCAUCAGGUUUAUUUCAAUAAUGAUCCUUCCGCAGGUUCACCUACGGAAA